RNAcentral lists this unclassified non-coding RNA (568 nucleotides) under Hevea brasiliensis (rubber tree). The record is from RNAcentral. Lineage: Eukaryota; Viridiplantae; Streptophyta; Magnoliopsida; Malpighiales; Euphorbiaceae.
AUUUCAUUCAACCCCACCAAGUAAUGGUGAUUAUUACAUAUACAAAUUAAAAUGAAAAUUUAUUUACAAAUUUACAAACUCAAAAGAUAACAAAAUAUUAUUACAAGUUCAUUUGUACAACUACUCGUUGUCUUUUAGAUACAUAUGGACUAAAUUAUAUCAAAAUGAAUUUACAAGGGUAUAAAUAAUAUACCCGAAAAAGAUCCAAAAAUGGCUUCAAUCACAGCUACUAGCAGUUGCUCACUCUGCUGCUUUGCCCUUCUUUUUAUCUGCAACAGCAUGAAACAGCAAUCACUUUAUUUAAUGCCGAUAUCGUCGAAGAGUUGAAAACUGUGAGUCUUGAUGCUUGCUGGGCACUUGAUAAAGAUGGAAGAAUCCCCCAUCACUUGGCAGCCAUGAAAGGAAGAGUUGACAUUAUAAAGGAAUUGAUCAGCAUUUGUCCCGAUUCAAUUAGAGAGAAGCUCCAAUUAAGAUGGAUCUUUUCUGCCAAGAUAAAAGAAGCCAAAAUGGCUACGACAUUGAUCAUCAUCAAGGGGCUAAAAAAAGCAAAAACUGGACCCUUUUUCUU